CCCUUAGAUGUUCUGGGCGGCCCGCGCACUACAAUGGCGUGUGCAGCGAGUGCCGGAGUAGAGUUUUCCGAGGUAUUCUUGCAAUGCUCGUUUUGAUGGGGAUAGACCCUUGCAACUGUUGGUUUUGAACGAGGAAUUCCUUGUAAGCAUGGUUUAUCAUCCGACGCUGAAUGCGUCCCUGCCCUUUGUACACACCGCCCGUCGCUCCUACCGAUGAGUCGUCCGGUGAAGUUCGUAGACCUCGUGAUCGCGGAUCACUGGGGGAAGCAAAAUGAACCUCGCGGUUUAGAGGAAGGAGAAGUCGUAACA
Molecule: ribosomal RNA, 309 nt
Filed under: uncultured eukaryote
Lineage: Eukaryota
Description: partial 18S ribosomal RNA
Rfam family: Eukaryotic small subunit ribosomal RNA
Source: RNAcentral